Long non-coding RNA from Asparagus officinalis (garden asparagus), 486 nucleotides. RefSeq lists it as uncharacterized. Lineage: Eukaryota; Viridiplantae; Streptophyta; Magnoliopsida; Asparagales; Asparagaceae. The transcript has 2 exons. The record is from RefSeq and is a predicted model, not a curated record.
UCAAAAAUUAUUUUAUGGCAGGUAAUUUUCGUUGUUGAUGCCAGUGGCAGUAUGACAUUAAACCGUAUGCAAAAUGCUAAAGGUGCAGCAUUGAAACUAUUGGCAGAAAGCUAUACUAGAAGAGAUCAGGAGAAAUAUUGAGGUCUCUAUGGUGAUUUCGGAUUCUAACCCUUGCUAUGAAGACGCACAUAUGAGGCUUGCUGCAGUACUCUUAAUGUUGUUAUUGAGUCCAACUGAGUGUUAUGUUUGUUUCCUGGUCUUUUCUUUCUGUCAUGAUCCUGUUCAUGCCUGAACAUUUGAAAGAUGGGAAAUAAGUGGACUAUGGUUGUGCUACUAUUUUGUUUAUAGACGAAGUUACUACUCUUCUAGUUUAUCGAGUAAUUAAGUAGAUUGUCCUUACUAAUCGUGAUUGUGUUGCUGAUAGUUAUGAUGACAUUUAUAUCAAGUUAUUGAUCUUAUACAGAUCCUUACAUACCUUGUGUUUUC